Molecule: ribosomal RNA, 497 nt
Filed under: uncultured bacterium
Lineage: Bacteria
Description: partial 16S ribosomal RNA
Rfam family: Bacterial small subunit ribosomal RNA
Source: RNAcentral
GAUGAACGCUGGCGGCGUGCCUAAUACAUGCAAGUCGAGCGAACGGACGAGAAGCUUGCUUCUCUGAUGUUAGCGGCGGACGGGUGAGUAACACGUGGAUAACCUACCUAUAAGACUGGGAUAACUUCGGGAAACCGGAGCUAAUACCGGAUAAUAUUUUGAACCGCAUGGUUCAAAAGUGAAAGACGGUCUUGCUGUCACUUAUAGAUGGAUCCGCGCUGCAUUAGCUAGUUGGUAAGGUAACGGCUUACCAAGGCAACGAUGCAUAGCCGACCUGAGAGGGUGAUCGGCCACACUGGAACUGAGACACGGUCCAGACUCCUACGGGAGGCAGCAGUAGGGAAUCUUCCGCAAUGGGCGAAAGACUGACGGAGCAACGCCGCGUGAGUGAUGAAGGUCCUCGGAUCGUAAAACUCUGUUAUUAGGGAAGAACAUAUGUGUAAGUAACUGUGCACAUCUUGACGGUACCUAAUCAGAAAGCCACGGCUAACUACGUG